RNAcentral lists this ribosomal RNA (446 nucleotides) under uncultured bacterium. Its description in RNAcentral is "partial 16S ribosomal RNA". It matches the Rfam family "Bacterial small subunit ribosomal RNA", at positions 338 to 795 of the family's 1533-position model. The record is from RNAcentral.
CCUACGGGUGGCAGCAGUCGAGAAUCAUUCACAAUGGGGGAAACCCUGAUGGUGCGACGCCGCGUGGGGGAAUGAAGGUCUUCGGAUUGUAAACCCCUGUCAUGUGGGAGCAAAUUAAAAAGAUAGUACCACAAGAGGAAGAGACGGCUAACACUGUGUCAGCAGCCGCGGUAAUACAGAGGGCUCAAGGGUUGUUCGGAAUCACGGGGCGUAAGGCGUGCGUAGGCUGUUUCGUAAGUCGUGUGUGAAAGGCGCGGGCUCAACCCGCGGACGGCACAUGAUACUGCGGUACUAGAGUAAUGGAGGGGGAACCGGAAUUCUCGGUGUAGCAGUGAAAUGCGUAGAUAUCGAGAGGAACACUCGUGGCGAAGGCGGGUUCCUGGACAUUAACUGACGCUGAGGCACGAAGGCCAGGGGAGCGAAAGGGAUUAGAUACCCUGGUAGUC